GGUUAAGUGACUAAGCGUACACGGUGGAUGCCUUGGCAAUCAGAGGCGAAGAAGGACGUGCUAAUCUGCGAAAAGCUUGGGAGAGUUGAUAAGAAACGCUAUCAUCCCAAGAUAUCCGAAUGGGGAAACCCAAUAGGUGAAGAACCUAUUAUCAAAUGGUGAAUACAUAGCCAUUUGAAGCGAACCGGGAGAACUGAAACAUCUAAGUACCCCGAGGAAAAGAAAUCAACCGAGAUUCUGUGAGUAGCGGCGAGCGAAAGCGGAAGAGCCAGUUAGUUUUAGCAGUAGUAUUAAGAGAAUGAGUUGGGAAACUCAAUCAAAGAGGGUGAUAAUCCCGUAUCUGAAAAUACAAUUGUGGAACUAAGCUAACGAUAAGUAGGGCGGGACACGUGAUAUCCUGUUUGAAGAUGGGGGGACCAUCCUCCAAGGCUAAAUACUCCUGAUUGACCGAUAGUGAACGAGUACUGUGAAGGAAAGGUAAAAAGAACCCCUGCGAGGGGAGUGAAAUAGAACCUGAAACCGUGUACGUACAAGCAGUAGGAGCCCCAUCACUCAAACAUAUUGAGUGGUGAGGAUGAUUCAGCACACAAAAGUAGUUAACCACUUAUGAAUGAAAUGAAUAAGUGGGUCAACCGCUAAAUAAACAGUGUGAUUGAGUGAUGGGGUGACUGCGUACCUUUUGUAUAAUGGGUCAGCGACUUAUAUUUUGUAGCAAGGUUAACCGAAUAGGGGAGCCGUAGGGAAACCGAGUCUUAACUGGGCGUUUAGUUGCAAGGUAUAGACCCGAAACC
Molecule: ribosomal RNA, 791 nt
Filed under: Phocoenobacter skyensis
Lineage: Bacteria; Pseudomonadati; Pseudomonadota; Gammaproteobacteria; Pasteurellales; Pasteurellaceae
Description: partial 23S ribosomal RNA
Rfam family: Bacterial large subunit ribosomal RNA
Source: RNAcentral